RNAcentral lists this ribosomal RNA (573 nucleotides) under Taphrina deformans (peach leaf curl fungus). RNAcentral describes it as "eukaryotic LSU rRNA". It matches the Rfam family "Eukaryotic large subunit ribosomal RNA", at positions 62 to 648 of the family's 3401-position model. Lineage: Eukaryota; Fungi; Ascomycota; Taphrinomycetes; Taphrinales; Taphrinaceae. The record is from RNAcentral.
AAACUAACUAGGAUGCCUUCAGUAACGGCGAGCGAAGCAGGCAUAGCUCAAAUUUGUAAUCUGGCGCCUUUGGCGUCCGAGUUGUAUUUUCUAGAAGCGAGUUCGGUGACAGCUCCUACCCAAGUCCGUUGGAACGCGGCGUCAUGGAGGGUGAGAAUCCCGUGAAUGGUAGGAUGUCUGCUGCUAUGUGAACCGCCUUCGAAGAGUCGAGUUGUUUGGGAAUGCAGCUCUAAAUGGGAGGUAAAUUUCUUCUAAAGCUAAAUAUUGGCCAGAGACCGAUAGCGAACAAGUAGAGUGAUCGAAAGAUGAAAAGAACUUUGAAAAGAGAGUUAAACAGUACGUGAAAUUGUUGAAAGGGAAGCGCUUGAGAUCAGACUUCCUGUCUGGACUGUCCUUGCUUUUGCUUGGGUCAACAGUCCAGGCGUGGAGGCCAGCAUCAGUUUUGACGGCCGGAUAAAGGCCUUGGGAAGGUAGCUCCUCUCGGGGAGUGUUAUAGCCCAGGGUGUAAUACGGCCAGUUGGGACUGAGGACCGCGGCUUUGCCUAGGAUGCUGGCGUAAUGGUCUUAAGCGAC